AUUGAACGCUGGCGGCAGGCCUAACACAUGCAAGUCGAGCGAGCGGCGGACGGGUGAGUAAUGUAUGGGGACUGCCCGAUAGAGGGGGAUAACUACUGGAAACGGUAGCUAAUACCGCAUACUAUCGGAUAACCCAUAUGGGAUUAGCUAGUAGGUGAGGUAAUGGCUCACCUAGGCGACGAUCCCUAGCUGGUCUGAGAGGAUGAUCAGCCAGACUGGGACUGAGAGACAGCCCGGACUCCUACGGAGGCAGCAGAGGGGAAUAGUGAACAAUGGGCGCAAGCCGGAUGCAGCCAGGGCGCGAGGAUGAAGAAGGCCCUAGGGAAGUAAAGUACUUAGAGGCGGGAGGCGUUACCGACAGAAGAAGCACCGACAAUCUCCGUGCCAGAAGCCGCGGUAAUAC
Molecule: ribosomal RNA, 403 nt
Filed under: uncultured bacterium
Lineage: Bacteria
Description: partial 16S ribosomal RNA
Rfam family: Bacterial small subunit ribosomal RNA
Source: RNAcentral